RNAcentral lists this ribosomal RNA (301 nucleotides) under uncultured bacterium. Its description in RNAcentral is "partial 16S ribosomal RNA". It matches the Rfam family "Bacterial small subunit ribosomal RNA", at positions 509 to 807 of the family's 1533-position model. The record is from RNAcentral.
CAGUAGCCGCGGGAAUACGAAGGGGGCUAGCGUUGUUCGGAAUUACUGGGCGUAAGGGGCGCGUAGGCGGCCAUUCAAGUUAGAUGUGAAAGCCCUGGGCUCAACCUAGGAAUUGCAUUUGAUACUGUUUGGCUUGAGUUCGGGAGAGGUGAGUGGAAUUCCCAGUGUAGAGGUGAAAUUCGUAGAUAUUGGGAAGAACACCAGUGGCGAAGGCGGCUCACUGGACCGACACUGACGCUGAGGCGCGAAUGCGUGGGGAGCAAACAGGAUUAGAUACCCCGGUAGUCCCUGUCUCUUAUAC